Molecule: ribosomal RNA, 301 nt
Filed under: uncultured bacterium
Lineage: Bacteria
Description: partial 16S ribosomal RNA
Rfam family: Bacterial small subunit ribosomal RNA
Source: RNAcentral
CAGUAGCCACGGGAAAACGAAGGGGGCUAGCGUUACUCGGAAUUACUGGGCGUAAAGGGCGCGUAGGCGGCACGAUUAGUCAGGCGUGAAAUUCCUGGGCUCAACCUGGGGACUGCGCUUGAUACGGUCGAGCUAGAGGAUGGAAGAGGGUCGUGGAAUUCCCAGUGUAGAGGUGAAAUUCGUAGAUAUUGGGAAGAACGCCGGUGGCGAAGGCGGCGACCUGGUCCAUUACUGACGCUGAGGCGCGACAGCGUGGGGAGCAAACAGGAUUAGAUACCCCCGUAGUCCCUGUCUCUUAUAC